This 460-nucleotide ribosomal RNA is filed under the name uncultured bacterium. Its description in RNAcentral is "partial 16S ribosomal RNA". It matches the Rfam family "Bacterial small subunit ribosomal RNA", at positions 338 to 795 of the family's 1533-position model. The record is from RNAcentral.
CCUACGGGAGGCAGCAGUGAGGAAUAUUGGUCAAUGGGCUUACGCCUGAACCAGCCAAGUCGCGUGAGGGAAGACUGCCCUAUGGGUUGUAAACUUCUUUUAUAAAGGAAUAAAGUGAGGCACGUGUGCCUUUUUGUAUGUACUUUAUGAAUAAGGAUCGGCUAACUCCGUGCCAGCAGCCGCGGUAAUACGGAGGAUCCGAGCGUUAUCCGGAUUUAUUGGGUUUAAAGGGAGCGUAGAUGGGUUGUUAAGUCAGUUGUGAAAGUUUGCGGCUCAACCGUAAAAUUGCAAUUGAUACUGGCAGCCUUGAGUACAGUUGAGGUAGGCGGAAUUCGUGGUGUAGCGGUGAAAUGCUUAGAUAUCACGAAGAACUCCGAUUGCGAAGGCAGCUUACUAAACUGCCACUGACAUUGAUGCUCGAAAGUGUGGGUAUCAAACAGGAUUAGAUACCCCAGUAGUC